GCCCGGCUGGGCAAACUGGCAAAGCCGCCGCACUCAGAAUGCGGAGAUUCUCGGGGUUCGACUCCCCGGCCGGGUA
RNAcentral lists this transfer RNA (76 nucleotides) under Krasilnikovia cinnamomea. It matches the Rfam family "tRNA". From Rfam's summary of the family: Transfer RNA (tRNA) molecules are approximately 80 nucleotides in length. Their secondary structure includes four short double-helical elements and three loops (D, anti-codon, and T loops). Lineage: Bacteria; Bacillati; Actinomycetota; Actinomycetes; Micromonosporales; Micromonosporaceae. The record is from Rfam by way of RNAcentral.